GUACUACUGAAGAGUCCAAAACUAGGCAGACGAAACAGCUGUCUAGGAC
RNAcentral lists this non-coding RNA (49 nucleotides) under Trichobilharzia regenti. Lineage: Eukaryota; Metazoa; Platyhelminthes; Trematoda; Strigeidida; Schistosomatidae. The record is from RNAcentral.